This is a long non-coding RNA of Oncorhynchus nerka (sockeye salmon), 1165 nucleotides long. RefSeq lists it as uncharacterized. The record is from RefSeq and is a predicted model, not a curated record. Lineage: Eukaryota; Metazoa; Chordata; Actinopteri; Salmoniformes; Salmonidae. The transcript has 3 exons.
AAGACACGCUGCCUUAUGUAUAGGCUGUUUCAAUAUGUCAAUUUCAAAUGAUUUUCAAACAAGUUUGAAUUGAUGUGUGUUCUGGCUCCUCAUUAAUUCACAUAAAAGUAGCCCAUUUCACUUUUGUGGACUUUUUGGGGGUUUUAUUGAGCCGGACAAACUUCCCCAAGCGCUUCCCCAUUGUUUCCGCAGAUCGAGUAUGUAGACAUUUGCGCAUCUCCAGUCAGAACAGGACCUGCACAAACUUUUUCACAUUUUUCAAGCUGGUGCCUGCAUUGCCUUCGCUGUUUUCCUAAUUACAUGAUAAUAACUUUGGACGUGUGCGUUUUCAUCAAAAUCAAUGUCGUACCUUCGGGCAUUUGGAAAUUCCUUCCAAGGAUGAGGUCUUGGCUGAUUUCUAUAAAUUGUCCCAUGAUGUCAAGCAAAGAGGCACUGAGUUUGAAGGGCCAGCUGGCUGGGGAACAGGGAUGAUGAUGCCACGCUCACCGUGGGUGUUUCCUGGGUAAUUGGUUCACUUUUUCUGAGGUCGAAACUCCAUGGUCCACACUAUAGGAGCUGGACUGAACAGCACUGCUACAAAUAACUGUUUGGUCUCAUAUUGAGGAGCCCCAUUUAAACGCAGAGAAAUAUAAUGUUGUUUAUUUGUAAAGGAUGUAUGCAUUAGUAAAUGUAUAUGCAUUAGUAUUUCAAAGCUUUCAUGUUUUCCACCUCUCCCAAAUCUAUCUCCUACAAUUAUUGACUUGAUUUCGCACAUUUAUAGGUAUUAUAGCAACUGUACUUCCAUAUAUAUUCCAUGAAGUUCAAGCUUGUGUGUUAUUGCCUCAUACUGUCUCAGGAGUGAUGAUACACCUUUUUAAACAAGCACAUUGAGUGAAGCCCAUAAAUAAAGGAAUGACAGGUGAAUAAUAAAGGAAUGAGUGAAGACAUAAAGGAAGUAAUGCUUUGUCUAGUAGUGCUCUACUGUCGUGUCUGCAUUAAACAUAAGUUAUUCGAUGUACACAGUACUUUAAAUGUUGAAUCUAUAGUUCCUGCACAUUGUUAUAUUUCUUUAACAUUAAUCUCCCAAUAGGAUCAACAGCAACUAUAGAACUAUUGUGCGUACCAGGUCCCUGUGAUGUAUCACCCCUGUUGAAAAGCACAUAAAUGGGUUAUCAUACCAUGAUAA